RNAcentral lists this ribosomal RNA (465 nucleotides) under uncultured bacterium. RNAcentral's name for it is "partial 16S ribosomal RNA". It matches the Rfam family "Bacterial small subunit ribosomal RNA", at positions 28 to 507 of the family's 1533-position model. The record is from RNAcentral.
GAUCAACGCUGACAGAAUGCUUAACACAUGCAAGUCGAUGAUGGGAGCUAGCUUGCUAGAAGAAGUCAUGGCGGACGGGUGAGUAACGUGUAAAGAACUUACCAUAUAGACUGGGAUAACAGAGGGAAACUUCUGAUAAUACUGGAUAAGUUAGUAGUAGCAUUACUAAGUAAUGAAAGGUAGCAAUACGCUAUAUGAGAGCUUUGCAUCCUAUUAGCUAGUUGGUGGGGUAAAAGCCUACCAAGGCGAUGAUAGGUAGCCGGCCUGAGAGGGUGGACAGCCACAAGGGGACUGAGAUACGGCCCUUACUCCUACGGGAGGCAGCAGUGGGGAAUAUUGGACAAUGGAGGCAACUCUGAUCCAGCAAUUCUGUGUGUGUGAAGAAGGUUUUAGGACUGUAAAACACUUUUAGUAGGGAAGAAAGAAAUGACGGUACCUACAGAAGAAGCGACGGCUAAAUACGUG